UGGGGAAUAUUGCACAAUGGGCGAAAGCCUGAUGCAGCGACGCCGCGUGAGGGAUGACGGCCUUCGGGUUGUAAACCUCUUUCAGCAGGGACGAAGCGAAAGUGACGGUACCUGCAGAAGAAGCACCGGCCAACUACGUGCCAGCAGCCGCGGUAAUACGUAGGGUGCAAGCGUUGUCCGGAAUUAUUGGGCGUAAAGAGCUCGUAGGCGGCUUGUCGCGUCGGCUGUGAAAACCUGGGGCUCAACCCCGGGCCUGCAGCCGAUACGGGCAAGCUAGAAUUCGGUAGGGGAGACUGGAAUUCCUGGUGUAGCGGUGAAAUGCGCAGAUAUCAGGAGGAACACCGGUGGCGAAGGCGGGUCUCUGGGCCGAUAUUGACGCUGAGGAGCGAAAGCGUGGGGAGCGAACA
RNAcentral lists this ribosomal RNA (407 nucleotides) under uncultured Jatrophihabitans sp. RNAcentral describes it as "bacterial SSU rRNA". It matches the Rfam family "Bacterial small subunit ribosomal RNA", at positions 355 to 774 of the family's 1533-position model. The record is from RNAcentral. Lineage: Bacteria; Bacillati; Actinomycetota; Actinomycetes; Jatrophihabitantales; Jatrophihabitantaceae.